RNAcentral lists this ribosomal RNA (497 nucleotides) under uncultured bacterium. Its description in RNAcentral is "partial 16S ribosomal RNA". It matches the Rfam family "Bacterial small subunit ribosomal RNA", at positions 28 to 507 of the family's 1533-position model. The record is from RNAcentral.
GAUGAACGCUGGCGGCGUGCCUAAUACAUGCAAGUCGAGCGAACAGACGAGGAGCUUGCUCCUCUGACGUUAGCGGCGGACGGGUGAGUAACACGUGGAUAACCUACCUAUAAGACUGGGAUAACUUCGGGAAACCGGAGCUAAUACCGGAUAAUAUAUUGAACCGCAUGGUUCAAUAGUGAAAGACGGUUUUGCUGUCACUUAUAGAUGGAUCCGCGCCGCAUUAGCUAGUUGGUAAGGUAACGGCUUACCGAGGCAACGAUGCGUAGCCGACCUGAGAGGGUGAUCGGCCACACUGGAACUGAGACACGGUCCAGACUCCUACGGGAGGCAGCAGUAGGGAAUCUUCCGCAAUGGGCGAAAGCCUGACGGAGCAACGCCGCGUGAGUGAUGAAGGUCCUCGGAUCGUAAAACUCUGUUAUUAGGGAAGAACAAAUGUGUAAGUAACUAUGCACGUCUUGACGGUACCUAAUCAGAAAGCCACGGCUAACUACGUG